UACAGAGGUCUCAAGCGUUGUUCGGAUUCAUUGGGCGUAAAGGGUGCGUAGGCGGCGCGGUAAGUCGGGUGUGAAAUCUCGGAGCUUAACUCCGAAACUGCAUUCGAUACUGCCGUGCUUGAGGACUGGAGAGGAGACUGGAAUUUACGGUGUAGCGGUGAAAUGCGCAGAUAUCGGGAGGAACACCUAUGGCGAAGGCAGCUCGCUGGGACGUUACUGACGCUGAGACGCGAAAGCGUGGGGAGCAAACAGG
Molecule: ribosomal RNA, 253 nt
Filed under: uncultured bacterium
Lineage: Bacteria
Description: partial 16S ribosomal RNA
Rfam family: Bacterial small subunit ribosomal RNA
Source: RNAcentral